AUGACAGACAAGGGUUUUCACCCCCAGCCCUGGCACAUGAACAAGACCCACGGCUACGGCUUCAAGAAGGGAGCGACACCCACGGACACCGCCGUCGUCGGCGCCAAGCGUGAAGCUUUUGCUCGGGAACUCGCCAAUACCACCAGUAGGCGCCCCUACAACUCCUGCAGCGAGAGUCAGGCCAACCCCGCCAAAUCCGGGCACGACCAGAGCCUACCAGAUCCUUCCGUCCCUACACCCAUGCCUCCCGCACGGCCAACAGGUGUAGGCACAAACGUCACCACAAGACUUGCCGGAAAGCCCACCGUGGAUCCCACCACCGGGAGCCGCUGCCCCGGCAUCCUCAGACAACUCAAAAUUGAUGCCAAAACACGAGGUCGCCUCCCCACCAAGCCACGAGCCUCCACCUUGAUAUGGACAGAGAAACAGCCGAGGUAA
Molecule: ribosomal RNA, 438 nt
Filed under: Triticum aestivum (bread wheat)
Lineage: Eukaryota; Viridiplantae; Streptophyta; Magnoliopsida; Poales; Poaceae
Description: partial small subunit ribosomal RNA
Source: RNAcentral